AGAGUUUGAUCCUGGCUCAGAGCGAACGUUAGCGGCGGGCUUAACACAUGCAAGUCGAACGCGAAAGGGCUUCGGCCCCGGUAGCGUGGCGUCCGGGUGAGUAACACGUAGGGAAUCUACCCUGGAGCGGGGGAUAACGUUCCGAAAGGAACGCCAAUACCGCGUAAGACCACGACGGCUACGGCCGAUGCGGUCAAAGAUGGCCUCUAUUCAUAAGCUAUCGCUCUAGGAUGACCCUGCGGCCCAUCAGCUAGUUGGUAGGGUAAUGGCCUACCAAGGCGAAGACGGGUAGCUGGUCUGAGAGGAUGAUCAGCCACACUGGCACUGAAACACGGGCCAGACUCCUACGGGAGGCAGCAGUGGGGAAUAUUGGUCAAUGGGCGCAAGCCUGAACCAGCCACGCCGCGUGAGUGAUGAAGGCCUUCGGGUUGUAAAGCUCUGUGGGGAGGGAAGAAAACGGCAGGUAAGAAACGACCUGUCCUUGACGGUACCUCCUUAGCAAGCACCGGCUAACUCUGUGCCAGCAGCCGCGGUAAUACAGAGGGUGCGAACGUUGCUCGGAAUUACUGGGCGUAAAGCGCAUGUAGGCGGGUCGGCAAGUCAGAUGUGAAAUCCCCGGGCUCAACCCGGGAACUGCAUCUGAAACUGCUGGUCUUGAGUACUGGAGAGGGUGGCGGAAUUCCUGGUGUAGAGGUGAAAUUCGUAGAUAUCAGGAGGAACACCGGUGGCGAAGGCGGCCACCUGGACAGUAACUGACGCUGAGAUGCGAAAGCGUGGGGAGCAAACAGGAUUAGAUACCCUGGUAGUCCACGCCGUAAACGAUGGGUGCUAGGUGUCUCGGGUAUUGACCCCUGAGGUGCCGUAGCUAACGCGUUAAGCACCCCGCCUGGGAAGUACGGUCGCAAGACUAAAACUCAAAGGAAUUGACGG
Molecule: ribosomal RNA, 930 nt
Filed under: uncultured bacterium
Lineage: Bacteria
Description: bacterial SSU rRNA
Rfam family: Bacterial small subunit ribosomal RNA
Source: RNAcentral